This 383-nucleotide ribosomal RNA is filed under the name uncultured bacterium. RNAcentral's name for it is "bacterial SSU rRNA". It matches the Rfam family "Bacterial small subunit ribosomal RNA", at positions 29 to 409 of the family's 1533-position model. The record is from RNAcentral.
AACAAACGCUGGCGGCGUGCCUAAUACAUGCAAGUCGAACGGGGAAAGUUCUUCGGAAUGAGUACUAGUGGCGUACGGGUGAGCAACACGUGGAUAAUCUUCCUUCAGGUGGGGAAUAACGAGUCGAAAGAUUCGCUAAUACCGCAUAAGACCACAGUAACUUUGGUUACAGGGGUUAAAGACUUCGGUCGCCUUUAGAUGAGUCUGCGUCCGAUUAGCUAGUUGGUGAGGUAAUGGCUCACCAAGGCGACGAUCGGUAACUGGUCUGAGAGGACGGCCAGUCACACUGGGACUGAGACACGGCCCAGACUCCUACGGGAGGCAGCAGUAGGGAAUUUUGCACAAUGGAGGAAACUCUGAUGCAGCGACGCCGCGUGAGUGAU